GCCUCCUGAUUUGCUUAUUGCACCACAUGUGUUUUUCUUUGAAACAAACUUGCUUUGGCGGUGGGCCCAGCCUGCCGCCAGAGGUCUAAACUUACAACCAAUUUUUUAUCAACUUGUCACACCAGAUUAUUACUUAAUAGUCAAAACUUUCAACAACGGAUCUCUUGGUUCUCGCAUCGAUGAAGAACGCAGCGAAAUGCGAUACGUAAUAUGAAUUGCAGAUAUUCGUGAAUCAUCGAAUCUUUGAACGCACAUUGCGCCCUCUGGUAUUCCGGAGGGCAUGCCUGUUUGAGCGUCGUUUCUCCCUCAAACCGCUGGGUUUGGUGUUGAGCAAUACGACUUGGGUUUGCUUGAAAGACGGUAGUGGUAAGGCGGGAUCGCUUUGACAAUGGCUUAGGUCUAACCAAAAACAUUGCUUGCGGCGGUAACGUCUACCACGUAUAUCUUCAAACUUUGACCUCAAAUCAGGUAGGACUACCCGCUGAACUUAAGCAUAUCAAAGGC
RNAcentral lists this ribosomal RNA (504 nucleotides) under Candida albicans. Its description in RNAcentral is "eukaryotic LSU rRNA". The stretch from base 145 to 298 matches the Rfam family "5.8S ribosomal RNA". The record is from RNAcentral. Lineage: Eukaryota; Fungi; Ascomycota; Pichiomycetes; Serinales; Debaryomycetaceae.